RNAcentral lists this ribosomal RNA (502 nucleotides) under uncultured bacterium. RNAcentral describes it as "partial 16S ribosomal RNA". It matches the Rfam family "Bacterial small subunit ribosomal RNA", at positions 28 to 507 of the family's 1533-position model. The record is from RNAcentral.
GACGAACGCUGGCGGCGUGCCUAAUACAUGCAAGUCGAACGAACCGCGACUAAGUGCUUGCACUAAGUCAAGGUGAGUGGCGAACGGGUGAGUAACACGUGGGUAACCUACCUCAUAGUGGGGGAUAACAGUCGGAAACGACUGCUAAUACCGCAUAGGACAUAGGAUCACAUGAUCCAGUGAGGAAAGGUGGCGCAAGCUAUCGCUAAGAGAUGGACCCGCGGUGCAUUAGCUAGUUGGUAGGGUAAAGGCCUACCAAGGCGAUGAUGCAUAGCCGACCUGAGAGGGUGAUCGGCCACAUUGGGACUGAGACACGGCCCAAACUCCUACGGGAGGCAGCAGUAGGGAAUCUUCCGCAAUGGACGCAAGUCUGACGGAGCAACGCCGCGUGAGUGAAGAAGGUCUUCGGACCGUAAAGCUCUGUUGUUAGAGAAGAACAGCGCAUAGAGUAACUGCUAUGCGUGUGACGGUAUCUAACCAGAAAGCCACGGCUAACUACGUG